AUGUCGCAUGAGAGCCAUUUGAAUCAACGAUGUCGCAUAAGAGACAAUUCAACUCAACGACGUCGCAUGGGAGCUAUUUGCCCGUACUCCCUCUCCGGCGCACAGAAGGCCGCCGCGCUGGCGCUCAAGUGCCUCUCUGGUAACUUGGGUGUCCGGCCGAGCAUGGAGCAGGUGGUUGCGGCGCUGGAGCAGCUCCAGGGCACCAAGGAGACCGCAGUGAGCGAUCAGGGGAAGGCGAGCGGUGGUGGCACCUGCCGCGUUGUCAGGAAGUUUGGUGGUAGCCGACAGCAGCAACCGUAG
This 300-nucleotide ribosomal RNA is filed under the name Triticum aestivum (bread wheat). RNAcentral's name for it is "partial small subunit ribosomal RNA". Lineage: Eukaryota; Viridiplantae; Streptophyta; Magnoliopsida; Poales; Poaceae. The record is from RNAcentral.